GCUCAACCGAGGAAGUGCUUCGAAAACUGGUAAACUUGAGUGCAGAAGAGGAAAGUGGAACUCCAUGUGUAGCGGUGGAAUGCGUAGAUAUAUGGAAGAACACCAGUGGCGAAGGCGGCUUUCUGGUCUGUAACUGACGCUGAGAUUCGAAAGCAUGGGUAGCAAACAGGAUUAGAUACCCUGGUAGUCCACACCGUAAACGAUGAGUGCUAAGUGUUGGAGGGUUUCCGCCCUUCAGUGCUGCAGCUAACGCAUUAAGCACUCCGCCUGGGGAGUACGAUCGCAAGAUUGAAACUCAAAGGAAUUGACGGGGGCCCGCACAAGCGGUGGAGCAUGUGGUUUAAUUCGAAGCAACGCGAAGAACCUUACCAGGUCUUGACAUACCAUGAAAAGCUAAGAGAUUAGUCUUUCCCUUCGGGGACAUGGAUACAGGUGGUGCAUGGUUGUCGUCAGCUCGUGUCGUGAGAUGUUGGGUUAAGUCCCGCAACGAGCGCAACCCUUAUUAUCAGUUGCCAGCAUUCAGUUGGGCACUCUGGUGAGACUGCCGGUGACAAACCGGAGGAAGGUGGGGACGACGUCAAAUCAUCAUGCCCCUUAUGACCUGGGCUACACACGUGCUACAAUGGUCGGUACAACG
This 637-nucleotide ribosomal RNA is filed under the name uncultured bacterium. RNAcentral describes it as "bacterial SSU rRNA". It matches the Rfam family "Bacterial small subunit ribosomal RNA", at positions 607 to 1244 of the family's 1533-position model. The record is from RNAcentral.